UCUCUCCUAGUAUAAAAAGAUCCACUUGCAGUACACCAACAUGAAGUGGGAUACAUAAUACUGUGCUCACUGUGUAACUUCUUUGCAUCAAAAAUCAGGACAUCUUUUGUACAAAUCAUUCUGGAGUAAAUCCACUAUGACUGAAGGCCACAAAUCAGGAAAAAUGCUGUCAGAGUCUGGCAGCACACCCAUGGAGUCAGCGCCUCUUUCAGACCUCGGCGAGGAUCUGGCAGCUCUGGGGAGAGCCCACACGCUGUGGACAGAGCAGCUCUCCUGCACCUUCCACCUGGGCUUUGCAGUCCUUUCUACAGAAUGAUGUUGCUGCUCAAGCUUUCGAGGGCACGCACAUCUCUGCUCCUCGCUCGGCUGGGUGACAUCGACCUCCCAGGCACCCUGCUGGUGUGACCACACUUUGAGCUGUGCCUGCAAAUGGCUGUGCUCUUGGGAUACCUUGGUCUUCCUCUGGUGUUACAGCCCAGGGCCCUCACUGAGCCUUGCUCUCGCCAAGGGGCAGAUGUGACUCAUGCAAGAGGGGAGCGGUGUGCCACAUCCCUCAGAGUCUGCCCAAGCUACUGUGAGUGAAAAUGAAGAGCUGAUGCUCUCUUGACAUCAGAGCGUCUCUGGGGUGCGGAGCUCUCAGCUCCCCCUGUUACCGUUGCAUGGGGGCUCAGGGAUGUGCCCUGAGCACUGACCUGCUCUCUUCCCAGCCCCGCUCACGGGAACCGCUUGCUGAUUCAUGUGAGUAGGCGGGAAGGAAAGAGGAUCCUUUGGGAGGUUUUUUCUCAGGAUUAACCUCUAUCUGAGAAGGGAGGAUAUCAAAGGGAAGCAAGUAGGCAGUAGGAUGGCUAACAUCCAAGACCUGUGGUGGUAGAGAAAAAAAUUCAGCAAGGAGACAGAGACGACUAGUAGGGAAAGAUUUGGCGAUGCUGUACUCUCUACAAGAACACAACGGGAAAAGGACAGAGUGGUUUUACAAACUCCAAAAGCUACUCUGCCUCUUUGCAUAGUUUGUGUAGCUGUCCAGACAGGAAACAAAAAGGGCAAUAGGAUGUAGAAGCCUGUAGCUUCAAGAAGCAUAACUGAAUAUUAAAUAAGCAUCCUCACUAAAACAGCAGAAUUCCUCGCAGCUUAUGCUCUGCAUUGGUGUCACUUGUUUACCAGGGACCGUUCUGCAGGAGCUGCCCUGGUUACACCACCGUCUGCUGCCAUGGGUCAGGGGCUGAGGUAGUGGUUAGACUGGACAAGCAGCAGGGCUCAUCCCUAAUUCUGAUUUAAUUCACUGAAGCUUGUGUAAGCUUAAGCUAAAAGUUAAGCUCAGGAUGGUUUAGGAAAAGCUUAGACUGGAGGCACAAAACAAGCAUCUUGAAAGCAGAAUGAGGUUUAACUACAGCUGAUGAUCCAACUUUCAAGCAGAUAAAUUACUUUGCAAAAAGACUGGUACAGCCAAGCCCCUUUUCAAUUACAGAAAACUAACUCAAUCAGCUCCUAUUCUUUUUAAAUAGAUCUGCUGGGUUUAAAUGAAUGUGCAUAAUAUGUGGUCCAUUUAUUUCCAAGAACAUUGCAGUGAAAGUUGCUUUAUGGAUUCACUGCAAAAUCCUGAGUAAAGAAAAAAAAAUCAAUAGAAAGUAUCCACCUUUCUUAAAAAGAAAAGCCAUUUUUCCCCCUAAAGUUCAAUUCGUUUUGCUCUGGCACUUAUUGACCUCGAUUCAGAUACUUUCGAUGUUUGUAUAGGGGCUUUUCUUCAAUCAGCCUGGCAGAACUUUCUAUUCCUUAAGCCGCAGGGGUAUCUACAGACUUGGAGGGACUUUGAUGGGGGGUGAGGGGAAGUCACAAAGCUGAAGCUCAUCUUUGGAAGUGAAGGGUGACAGCUUUUUUUUAUUGUUAA
Gymnogyps californianus (California condor) is the source of this 1885-nucleotide long non-coding RNA. RefSeq lists it as uncharacterized. The record is from RefSeq and is a predicted model, not a curated record. The transcript is spliced from 4 exons. Lineage: Eukaryota; Metazoa; Chordata; Aves; Accipitriformes; Cathartidae.